This is a non-coding RNA of Schizosaccharomyces pombe (fission yeast), 190 nucleotides long. NCBI's taxonomy places the organism in Eukaryota, Fungi, Ascomycota, Schizosaccharomycetes, Schizosaccharomycetales, Schizosaccharomycetaceae. The record is from the annotation of a GenBank genome assembly.
AAUAAAUUCUACUUAUGAAUAAAUCAAAUGUCUACGGCCAUACCUAGGCGAAAACACCAGUUCCCGUCCGAUCACUGCAGUUAAGCGUCUGAGGGCCUCGUUAGUACUAUGGUUGGAGACAACAUGGGAAUCCGGGGUGCUGUAGGCUUCCUUUUAUUCUUUUUUUCUAUUUUUUAUUAAUUUCAUUUUC